Molecule: ribosomal RNA, 253 nt
Filed under: uncultured bacterium
Lineage: Bacteria
Description: partial 16S ribosomal RNA
Rfam family: Bacterial small subunit ribosomal RNA
Source: RNAcentral
UACAGAGGGUGCGAGCGUUAAUCGGAAUUACUGGGCGUAAAGCGCGCGUAGGCGGCUCGGCAAGUCGGGCGUGAAAUGCCGGGGCUCAACCCCGGGACUGCGUCCGAUACUUCCGAGCUGGAGGUAGGUAGGGGAGAUCGGAAUUCCUGGUGUAGCGGUGAAAUGCGCAGAUAUCAGGAGGAACACCGGUGGCGAAGGCGGAUCUCUGGGCCUUACCUGACGCUGAGGCGCGAAAGCUAGGGGAGCGAACAGG